GAACGAUGACUCUCUAGCUUGCUAGAGAUGAUUAGUGGCGGACGGGUGAGUAACAUUUAGGAAUCUGCCUAGUAGUGGGGGAUAGCUCGGGGAAACUCGAAUUAAUACCGCAUACGACCUACGGGUGAAAGGGGGCGCAAGCUCUUGCUAUUAGAUGAGCCUAAAUCAGAUUAGCUAGUUGGUGGGGUAAAGGCCCACCAAGGCGACGAUCUGUAACUGGUCUGAGAGGAUGAUCAGUCACACCGGAACUGAGACACGGUCCGGACUCCUACGGGAGGCAGCAGUGGGGAAUAUUGGACAAUGGGGGCAACCCUGAUCCAGCCAUGCCGCGUGUGUGAAGAAGGCCUUUUGGUUGUAAAGCACUUU
RNAcentral lists this ribosomal RNA (366 nucleotides) under uncultured bacterium. RNAcentral's name for it is "bacterial SSU rRNA". It matches the Rfam family "Bacterial small subunit ribosomal RNA", at positions 64 to 436 of the family's 1533-position model. The record is from RNAcentral.